CACCUGAAGACAAUGGACCUCACAGGUGUUUGCCAAUUGUCUCAACUGAGAUACUUAAAGGUUGAUGAUAGGAUAUACUAUUCAGAGCGUUCAAUUGUGCUACCAAGUGAAAUUGGGAGGAUGCGACAUUUGGAGAGGCUGGAAAUACCUAAUAUAUGCAUUUGUAGCAUUCCAUCAGACAUUGUUGACUUGCCACGCUUGUCACAUCUCAUCUUGUCAGAUGAUACAAGUUUGCCGGACGGGAUUGGGAAAAUGAAAUCUCUGCGUACGUUGAGGUCAUUUUUAUUAGCAGAGAGCUCACCAGAGGAUAUUAAGGGCCUCGGCCAACUCAACAAGCUAGAAGACUUGGAGGUGCGGUGCCACGGAGAAAGAUACAACCACAAGCAUAGGCCGAAACGAAUGGAUAGUGAUACGCCGACUGCUAUAUGGAUGGAUGCUCUGAUUUUUUCCCUGGAGAAACUAAGUAACCUCAAAAGGUUUUGCCUGUCAUCUGAAUUUACUGCUGUCGGAGCCGAUGCCCUGCUCUUGCUUUCAACUCCUUUCCAAAAUCUCAAGGUGCUCUAUCUGCACGGACUGAUCUUCUCUAGAGUUCCUAGGUGGAUCGGAGGUCUCCAAAAGCUUUGUCUGUUGACACUCGGAGCAAAGCAGAUGACCCAGGAAGAUAUUAACAUCAUUGGAACACUGCCCUAUCUCACCGGCCUCUGGCUGCGGAUCUCAGGCAUGCCAACAGGCACGAUCGUGAUAGGUGGGACCACAGGGUUCAACGCUCUCGAGCUUUUUGCGUACGACUGUGAUGUUAUGUCAUAUCUGGCAUUUGAGGACGGAGCUAUGCCCAGCCUCCGGGAGCUCGAUUUAGUACUGGAUCCACAUAAAUGGGACAAGGUUACACCUCUUGGUCUCCAAUGUCUUUCGAACCUCAAGAAAAUAACUGUAUGGACGGUUGCCACCAGUUAUAGCAACGACGCAGGAGCGGGUGACAAAGAAUCAGAGGAGAUGUCUGCGGCUGCGUUGGUCCGCAAGGUGUUUCAGGGAGCAGCCGACUCACAUCCGAGUCACCCAGCAUUUGACGAAGGGAAUUUUCAUAGGUAUGCAAAAUUUAUUACAGAUCUAUUAUAUGCAUUUGCAUGCUUUUGUUUGUACUUGCAGUAAGUUUCGUUUCGUUCUGUAUAUACAAUGAGUACUGACGGGUAAACAUACUGGCCACUGACACUGUAGGCCGGCAGAGCAGGCACAAGAGUAGAAGACGGAUGCAUGGAACACGGUGCAGAGUUAUUGGGACUCUAUGCCAUAUCACGCAUUCAUGCUGCUGCUAUCUUCCAUGUUGCCUCGCACUAAUCCUUCUAGUCAUAACGCCAUUUCAUUUCAUCUGACGGUUUUUCCCCUGCAAUUGCAAGGGCCGUAUGCUGUGUAAAUCUUUGAGAAAUUUAUUUUGUUGUAUCUACUUUCAGAAACAAUGGCUUGUUUUUUGUCAACAGAAGUAAAUUUUUCUGCUAAUUGUACGUGACGGACUUAUACGGUAGGCUCUUCGUUUUUUGCUUGGUUAUUAAUAAUAACACCAUAACCAUGUACGAGCCUAUAACUUGGCUCCAAUAUAUCCUCCUGUACAAUCCGUUUAUCAUAUAUCCGGAUUUAUGUACACUAAUAGCUCUGUGGACAAUCUUUUCCAUGUAACUAGUGGUAUAUAUCUAUUUAAUUCUGCUUAUUAGUUUCCCUAACUGUUAUCUCCGUUGAAUACAUAGUCUCGUGUGCCACCGAGGGGGUAUCAUUUUCCAUUGUUAAAUAGCGCACCAGAAACAGUGCUGAAUGAAGAGUGCUGCCAGGCUGCACUGAAUUUUUCCCCCCUUCGGCUCGGAACAUAGUAGAAUUUUUUUGAGAGGAGGAGCACAGUAGAUAAGAUAGACUCUAUUUGGCAUAACUCAACUUCACUAGUAAAAUUAUUUUUUUUAGAAAAUGAGCAACUUUUUAGAUGAAGCUGGACUGUUUUGGAAAAAAUAUUUGGUAAAAUAGCUUCACCAACUACUUCUUGCAUAGAUGAGAGAGAGAAAUGAGGGAGAUAACUGCAAUAAGCUACUUUUUUAGCUUCAUCACAACUCAUAUCUUUGUGAGAGAAGAACAGAAAUAGUUUCACCCAUAAAGUUAUUUUAUAAAUAAGUGUUUGGUAAAAAAAAUAUAGCUUAAAGCAUCUCCAAUAGUUCGGUAUAAUUUAGUUGCUAAACUAAUUGAUUAAGCAAGUUAAUAAAAGAAAUAGCAACCCCAUAUUUUGUCCUUCUCCAACAGAUUUCUCUUUUUACUUUCUAAAAUCUAAAGUAGGAUCCAUAUAUCAUUAUUUUCGGAUCGAUUUGGAGCUAAUCCAUGCACACUGCCGCUGCCCUUUUGUCCCCCGUGUGUGAGUGCUCUGGCAGACGCUGGCGACCAUCACCUGUUGCAACCCAGCGACGGAGCCAACGGUGGGGCUGGUGGGGCUCCAGCCCUCCCUACGGCCGUAGAACCCACGUAGCCCUCCCUUAACCCCUUCUACAAAUUUUUAUCACUGAUGCUAUUUAAGAAGGGACUGAAGUUAUCUUAAGAUAACAGAAGCCUCCUCUAAAUUGUUGCAACAGUAGAACGCCUUAGCUAUGGCCUGAGCGCCUGGCCAUGCAUCUGGCUGUUACUCCAUGCCACCAUCAGGCACACAACCAGCAGCGUCAGAGUGGAAGGGCAGCGGCGGUCAAACUGAUGGCCGGCAGCAAAAUAGAUCAAGUCAACAAUAUAUUUCAGGCACAAACAAACUUGCGCAUAAAAAGUAUCAUGAAAACAGAUCUAAGGAGAAAAGAUAGAGAGUUCUUUCGACUUUAGAAAUUUAUGAAUUUAGAAUGAUAUUUAACUUUUUUUUAUGUUUAAGGAGCUCCUUUACCAAACCGUUGAAGAAAACUUUUUUUUUUAAGAUAGAGAGGAUUAGAGGAACCGAUAGUUCCUCCAAACACCAUAAAAUAUCUCAUAGUACAAUACUAACUUUAUGUGGGAUGGGCUCGUUGGGCUGUUGGACAUGUGCUGGCCGGCAAGAUGGUGCGUGACUCCCAGUUAGGGAUGAAAACGGAUCGGAUACGAACGGAUAUUACCAAUAUCAUAUUUGUUUUCAUAUUUCUGGUCGGAUUCGGAUUCGAAUACGGAUAAUGUCAAUCAUGUCGGAUAAGAUAGGAUUGGAUGUCUACAUCAUAAAUAUACGAUUUAAGUAUUCGAAUACGGAUACGGUAUCGGAUGUUGAAUAUUCGGACUCAGAUACGAACAUAUCUAAACCUCUCUAAACGAAUCGGUCUCGAAUACGAUCGGAAAAUAUCCGUACCAUUUUCAUCCCUACUCCCAGUGAACACGUAGUCUCAUCUGGCAUUGAGAGGCAAGCGGGCAUCAAAUCAAAUUGACAACCUAUAUAAACACACAAGUUUUGGUUUGUUAGAAAAUUAGGUAUCAAAUCAAUUUUAUUCCAUUAUCUGGGCACGCCCAGCACCUACAUGGCUCCACUGUUGGCUCCUCCUCUAACUAGCUACGGAGUAUGCUAGUUGCUAGCCAUAGUGGAUAUGAUAUGUCUCUGUUUCAUCUCCGGUGGCGGACGCAGAGCUCGUGUAUUUGUUUGUCAUCGCGAGAUUGUAGGUUGGGCGGGUUGUUAACAUAACCCGCUCGCUCGUCCCGUAAAAUUUGGCUUCGUGGUUAUUGCGGAUGGGCUGUAAUUUUUUCGUGGCCUAGUGACUCCAAUCCGCAAAGCCUGUUGGACGAACGAGCAAUCUCACAAAAACCCGCAAGAGCCCGCAAGAGUGAAGAGUAAAUAUAUACGUUAUGUCUUUAUUUAGUAAUAAUAACUUUUAUCAUAUGAUAUGUGUCCUUGUUUUUAUACAUGUAUUUCUUGAUGUUGUUAUAUUUGAGAACGUACAAUAUAUAGAUAGCCGCGAUAUGAAAAUUAAAAUGAUCAGUGCAAAGUUGUAUCAUCUGUGCAUUGAUUAACUGGAUAUAAAUGUUUAUCUUACAGAUUCUAAAUUCUUACAGUAUAUACGUGAAGAGAGACAGUAUCCACGUAGUCUCCAUAUAGUAUAGCGGGUCUUACGGGUUUAGCAGUCUAAUCUGUUAUGUCCGCGAAAAAUUUAUCCACGAAGUUUAUAACUUAGCGGCCUUGUCCUUCGGACGUGGGGUGCCGUCCGCAUCUGAAAGCCAGAAAACGGCUGUCUCUGAAAACAAAACGAUGUUGUAGUGAAACGACUUUGCUUUUUCCGUUUAGUUCACCCCGAAAUUCAAAAAAUUUUCAAGAUUCUCUGUCACAUCGAAUCUUGCGGCACAUGCAUGAAGCAUUAAAUAUAGACGAAAACAAAAACUAAUCACACAGUUUGACUGUAAAUCACGAGACGAAUCUUUUGACUCUAGUUAGUCUAUGAUUGAACAAUAUUUACCACAAACAAACGAAAGUGCUAUACUUCCGAAAACUUUUUAGUUUUCGGAACUAAAUAAGUCCGUAAACUCAGUGUGGCAUGCAAAUGCUACUAAAAUUGUAGACAAGCAUCAACCAGGCCAGCAGUCUACGUCGUCGCGCUCCUAUCGCCGGCGUACAUGGGGCCAUCCGUGGCAUAUCCUGGCCGGCGAGGAAAUGGGCCAGCACCGCCUUCUUCCGGGAGCUCAGCAUCCUCAUGACCUCCGGCCGGCGCUGGGGCUUGUCUUGGAUGCAGAGCAGGGCCACCCGGACACACCUCCUCAUCUCCUGCUUUGACAGCACCGUCCUCCUCAACCUUGUCGGCAACCAAUCCUGUGCAUAGUUGAGUUGUAAUUUAGCUCUAUGUAAUCCUAGGCAGUUAGUUAAUUGAUGCAAUUGUGUAAGAGCCGGACUCGUGCUGCGUUCACGAUGAGGUUCAGAGUCGCUACUCGCCACGACGCGUAUGAAAUACGUUCCCGUGCUCAAGACGGGCGCGGCGCAGCGCGAGCGUAUCGUGGCGGGGGACCCUGGCCAUUAGGCCUAUAAAUAAAGAGCAUUGUGUUCAGGUCUGGUCGCGCCAUAGCGGCUAAAAUCAAUCUGUGUUCUUCGUGUUCCUGCCUUUGAGCGAGCUAGAACGAAGCUAGGUUAGCCAAGCCGAGAAGUUCCUGAUCGCGAUCGGUGAUUAGCGCCAACAACAGUUACCAAGACUAUAAACUAGGUAACCGAGCCAUAUGAGUUUCAUGGGGAUGAAACUUCUCUCUCAUCCGAUGAAACUCCUUCAUUUAAUGAGCCUGCCAAGUCAGCAAUUUUGCUUAUGUGGCACCCUAUUUAAUGUGCAUGACACUCUCAUGAAACAUGCAUUGAGACUGGCCUAAGAAGAUGUUUGAUACAAACUUUAGUUCUUGUCACAUGAGAUGUUUAGAUGCUAAUCAUGAGUAUUAAAUAUAGAUUAAUUAUAAAGCUAUCUCUCCAUCCACGAAAGAAUCAAUUCCUAGAAUCCGUGCCAGUCAACGCAUCUAUGACAUAAAAUGUGCAUCCUAUAAAAAUAUAUUCUAUGAUGAUUUAAUGAUACUAAUUUGAUACCAUUAAUCUUAGCAUUUGUUUAUAGAAAUUUGGGCAAAGUCUAAAAAGUUUGACUUAGAACAACUCUAGAAAUUGAUUCUUUCGUGGACGGAGGAAGUAAUUGAAUAAAUGAAGGAUGAUUCGUGAAACAAAUCUAUUAUGCCUAAUUAGGUCAUCCUCAAUGGGGGUUUAAUGUUCCAUUUUCCAACACAUCCAUAUUUCCAAAACAGUGCAGAAGAGUUUUAUGAGGAUGAAACUCUCUCUAGCUAGUUCCAUGAAACUCUUAUCAUCCUUUCUUUAUUAAUACAGUGCCACAUUAGCAUAUAUAAUGUGCAUGAAACUCUGACGAAACUCCAUUAAGAUUGAUCUUAGUCCACAAUUAGCGAAUGUGAUGCUACAUAAACAUAUUCUACUCAUAGAUUAAUUAGGCUUAAUAAAUUUGUCUCGAAAAUUAGUCACGAUUUAUACAAUUAGUUUUAUAAUAACCUUAUGUUUAGUUCUCCUACUUGUCCCGCGAGUUAGUUCUUGCAUAUUUUCUAUGACAAAGGACUAAACUUUAGUCCCUAAAUUAAAUACCGCUUAAACAUUUCUCUGAUUCUCCCGCUACGGCCCAUGAUGGAAUUUGUUGGCGAUGCCCAUCGGAUGGAGCCGCUCAUGUCUUGUGCACGAAACAAAAAGCUGAGUGUGGGAGUGUACUACGGCCUCGCAGGCUAGAAACACCAACUAUAUCAGGUCCUAUCUCACUUCAAUCUUAUUUGAUGACUUCAUAUGGUGCAUGUUUUAAAUAAUGUACAUAUUUCAAAUAAUGACACUAAUACUAUUAUAGUACUUAAGAACGUACUCUAUGGCCAAUUUUAAAAAAGUGACAAGAGAGUUAAUGAAAGAUACAAUAAGCACAAGAGAUCCAACUUAAAUUGAGGAGAGAGAAAAACCCAUAGUAGUUGACAAAUAAAAUUUAGAUCCAUGAUUUAUAAGAUAUAUGAUGCAAUAAGAUCGACCAUGAUUAAUGUUUCAAAGUAAUUGCAUACGUAAAAUAUAUAGAUGUGUCAUGCAAAGGAAAAGUAUGGAUAUGGAUAAAAAUAUAUAUUAGUUUCUUGAAAAAGAGUAAUUAAUAAGUUAUUUAUGAUAAUUAAAAGUAAACUACAAAGCAUCUAUUAUAUGUCUGUUAUGUUAGAAAUUAAAAAAAUAAUUUAAGAUAAGUAAUUCUUUAGUAGUUAGAUGUACUCUCUCCAUUCUAAAUUAUAAGCCAUUUUGAGUUUUGUAACUACAUAGCUUUGAUUUUAUACUUAGACAUACUAUCUAUAUACAUAGUAAAAUUAAUAUAUCUAAAAAAAUCAAAACAUUUUAUAAUUUAGAACGAAGGGUUUAUUUUUUCAAAGAACCCAAAAGGAGUAUGUCGGGCAUAUAUUAAUAGAGAAGCAAUUAAAAAAAUUACAACCUCACGAAGGAGGCAACAACUGCAAGAAACGUAAAAACCAUGAUCCUCAAAAGCAACAGCUGUCAAAAGACACUCUGGACGUCAUCAGCACAAGCGACGUAAACUAGUAGGGAGAGUAGACUUCCACAGCAAUGCCUCCAAGGAGGGUAAUGACAUCCGUAGAUGCCGACAAUGUUGAAAGGAGAACCCGGGUUUUUCAACCAAACUCCUAUAGGGUAAGAGGGGUCUCACGACAAUGUCUCCAACGAGGAAUGUGCUACCAACGACAUCACCAUUGUCGGCCAAAACCAAAGGCCUUGCAGGGCUUUCGCCCGAAAAACCCCAACACCCAAGCCCAAACCAGUCACAUCGUGGACCACCACAGCUAACCGCCACUGAUAGGAGAUCGUUGUGUCAACGGCAAGGUCAAAGGCAUGCUUGACCUGCCACCACCACGCCAGCCCGCUACAGCCGCCUCCCUCCUACCUGGUACCAACAACCGUGAGUAGUCACAUCUUGUCCCUGCACCGAGCAAAGAGCACCGCCAACGCCAUUGCACAUCGACACCCCACAAGCUUCUAUAGAAACCAUGAACAUCCCCACACAAGCAGCCAUCUUCAACAAGCCGGCAUCCGCUGGUUGUCGCAGCGGCGACGAGCCAGCACAGGCAUUUGUGGCCAAUUGCAACUGCGCCGAUCGAUAGACCUCAACCAACUAGUAGAUACCAGCCCCCAAAAGAUCGCCCCUAUAGGAAGCAUGAUGUUGCACUAUCCACUUGUACAAGUGUCGCAACCGAACCCUUCCGAAGUACUCCAUAGAUAGCGGUAGUUAUGCAUUGUUGCCACCAACGUAACCAAAGUACCUCGCCAAGCAAAUGAGCCACCACGACCUUGCCAACAUUGACCAUCACUAAGCGAGGUCAACCGCAGAGGCUAGGACCAAGGUGAGUCGCCGUAGACUAGUUGCCGCUGCCGCACCGAAGACUGAUGCAGCGUCGGUCGUCGAACCAUCGUCAACCAGACCAACACCGGCGACCAUGGGAUGCUUCGGCAUGGAACGAGGUAACCCUGUGGAGCAGCCCCUAGCAGAGCUGCACCACCUCCGCAUGCAAGUCAGGCCACUGCUGCACAAGCAUUAGCACCACCCAUCCUUUCUCGGCCUUCGUGGCCGCGACAUCCUCGAGCGCGUGCCCAUCUGCCUCUGCACAUGUAGCACCAAGGCCCGCUCCGCCUCGCUUCAGACCACCCAACAUGCACAAGGAGGACGACGGGUGGAGCCGAAGCAGUUGUCGUUGCCGCACCUCCGCACAGACGGGCCUUGAUGUGCCGCUGUGCCCCCAAGGCCGCCCUGAUCUGAAAACGCCACGCAGGCCAACAGGACCUGCCAGACCUGCACGGCCACUGGAUCCAGCCACCACGUCAUCGGAUCUGGCCCCUAGGCCGCCAAAAGUGCAGCCGGAAGGGGAGGCCACCACCACGACAAAGCUCUAGGAGAGGCCCCCAUGGCGAGAAGAGGAGGGAAGAAGCCUCGCCGCCGCUUUCCUUGCGGCCACCGGUGUACGGAGGCACACUCCGGCGACGACAAGGUGGAGGGACGGCAGGAGGAGAGCCCCUAGCGGUGAGGCUGCUUGUUCCGCCCGAGCUGCCUGGGAGGGGCGACGCGGGGGAGAGACUCAGGGACUAGACGACAGUGUCAAUGGCUUGCUGCUACGAGGGCCAAUGGACCAUGAAGGGAUUAUUAAAUGGUGACUGAUAUUUAUAUGUCAUAAAUAUUUUAUACCGUGCGAGAGCACGGAUUGAUGGACUAUUGACUUAUAAUUUAGGAUGAAGUAUUUUAUACGACAUAAUUUGAAAUAUAUGCUCCCUGUCGUAAAAAAACAAAUCCAUAGAACUGUUGAAAAAAAGAACGCUUUGUGAUGCACAUGCUGCUCCUGUUACUAAACUAUUCGAUCCAUGGUCAUGGCAGACCUCCGGUGAGGGGGGCGAAGGUGGCCGCCACAAACACGCCACAGCUGUUGAGGUCUGGGAAAACUCUAGCACGCCGCGGCAGGAUGGUGUGUGGCGGCGGGGGCAAGGGUCAAAGAAGAAGACGUUGAAAAGGGGAAGAAGGCGGCUCGAUACAUAUGGACAACAAGAAAUGAUUGGAUCUUCAAAGGGCUGCAUCCCAAUGAGGCGAGCUGCAGAAGUGUUUUUGUCAAGGAACUCAACCUGGUAUCAUUCAGGGUUAAGCCAAGUGCACUCGAUAGAUUUGAAUUAUGGAUGCAAAAUAUUCAGAACAUUUAGACUCUUUGUAUUUCUUCUUCUUUUCUUUUCUAGUACCUUAGUCUUCAUGGUUGUAACCCCUCCUUGUUUUCGUUAUUAAUUUUCAAUAAAAUCUCUGUAGGGCCAAGGCCCCUCCAGUUCCUUAAAAAAAAGAAGACAGCUCGAGGUUGAAGAUGGCCGCGUGGCUAACAUACGCACAUUCAUGUGUUAGCCGCUCCCGUUUUGAACCGAGAGGGAGGAGACGGGAUCUUUUUUUUUUCCGAUGCGGACUCCGUCUCUUUUUUUUUUGGCCUCUCGUCUCUACAAAUUCUGGGACACGCGUCAAGCCCUCGGAAUUUAGGGCGACGUGGCCACUUCAAAAGAUCAGGGAGCAACAUAGAAUUAAAGAAGUUAAUUAAUAUGCUAAAAAAAUAAAGACAAGUACCUAGCGCUGAUGCAUGUACCAACCAGAGCAAGCACAAGUGGACCACUUGCCCCCGACUGACUAUUCAAAGCUUAGCUGGAAAUUUGGAAUUGUCUACCCAACACUUCCACGCUCACAUCUUGAGGCCUUGUUUAGUUUGUGAUUUUUUUUUUGCUUUGGCUACUAUAAUAUUUUUGUUAUUAUUUAAUUAUAUACUAAGUUCAAAAAACAUCUCAUAAAUUACUGACAAACUAUACAACUAGUUUAUAUUUUUAUUUAUAUUUAUGCUUCAUACAUAGGUCCAAAGAUUCAAUCUCUUGAAAAUUUUUGAAACUAAGCCAGACUUUAGCAGGCCUGAGGCCACGACCACUACUGCGUGUCCAAAAGCCAUACACGCAUGCAGGCCUGCUUGCGUUGCCUUCCCAAAAACACAAGGCAAUAGUGCAGGGACAGGGAGUGGCCCAGCGAGAAGAGAAGAGACCACCAUCCUCGCUCUCGCUCGUGUCUUCAAGUCAAGUCGCCGGGCCCCACUCCCACACCAUCCUUCCAGACGCAGUGCGCACGGCUGCCCUCUCAUUACUGGCUAUUAAAGGUUGGGUGGGCUGAUGAUUCGUCAAAGAAAAGAAAAAAGUUCGGCUGAUUGCAAGCACGGGGAAAUCUGUUGAAUCCUUAGGCUGCGCUACAUACAAAUCUCAUACUCCCACUAAGAUUUCGUUUUCUUUCUCGCUGCCCAAGUGAUGUCAACGAGCUAGAAGAGGAGCCGUGAGCAUGCUUGAGUAGGAAUGAAGGAACUAAAGAGACAGUGGUCCUCUUUCUCUGCUUUGCAGUUUGGUAAGCUCGAAUAUAAUUCUUCAGUUAUUAGACAACAAAGAUGCAGAUUUCGUCAUCUUCAUUCACUUAUGCCUGUUAUAUCUGCAUCUAUUGAUUGUGUCUGUGUCGAUUUAUUCUUGUUUUUGUUGGAUGUACAGCUGACUAAAGAGACCUGAUGCACUACAUACAUACUCUGACGAUCUGUCAUCAGGUACGCUAGCUUCUAUUCAACAUCGAUCCAACUCUCUGCUUAAUUGUUUUCUGUAUGCUAUGCUGGACAGACUUCCAUUAUCGAUCAUUCCUUCGCUUCGAACACGUCUGAUGCUAGCUUGCUUAAUUGUGUUUCCCUGUCUCGAUGCGCGCGAUAGCUGCUUCACAUCUACGCUGCUGCUGCUGCUGGUCGUACAUGGUGGAGGAUCGAAUCACUGUGAGUCGUGAUCCAUACAUUUGCCAUCUGUUGUCAGCAACUCAGCAUGCGACACCCUCGCCUGGCCUGACCAGAUCUAUGCUCAAUAAAAUCGGCCUCUUAAUUAAUAAGGAGGGCACAGGUAAGUGAUCGAUCCAGCUCAGGUUGCAUCUGCUCAACAGCUAGAAUCUAGCUGCUAGAUAGACAGUGUUCCAAGCUAAUGUAUGUGCACAUCGAUCUCCAUCGAUUUCUCAUGCGCAGGCCGCCUACCUUUGCUAAUUUGAAGGACCAAACUAAGAACAGAGAGAGAGAUCAGAUCAGAGGAGGGAGGAACCCGGCUCUCUCAACACUCACUGAGCGCGCCCAAGGACCGGAGGAGGACGAUAGAUCGAUGGCGGCCGCGGGCAUCGCAGUCAGCGUUUCCAUGGGGGCUCUGAAGCCUGUCUUGGAAAAGCUUGCCACGCUCCUGGGCGACAAGUACAAGAAGCUCAAGGGUCUACGGAAGGAGGUGUCCUUCCUCAUGGAAGAGUUAAGCGACAUGAAAGUCCUCCUUGAGAACAUGGACAAUGCUGAGGAUGAACUCAAUUCGCAGGCCAAGAAAUGGAGGAAAGAUAUAAUUGAUAUGUCAUAUGAUAUUGAAGAUUGCAUUGACAACUUCAUGGACCGUGUUGGGGAUGCCGAUGAUAAGGUGGGGAUCCUCAAGAAAGCUUCUCACUAUCUGAGAACUAUCAAGGAUCGGUACCGCAUAGCCAAUCAGAUCAAUGAGAUCAAGAGUCGUGUGAUGGAAGCAAGCAAACGCCGAGAUAGGUACAAUCUCAAUGUGUGCACCUCUGGUUCUACCACAAUAGUGGCUGUUGAUCCUCGCCUGACUGCACUUUACACGGAUUCAACAACCCUUGUGGGCAUUGGCACUCAAAAGGAAGAACUUGUCAAAUGGGUAGAGGAUGAAGAGAAACAACUAAAGGUGAUGUCAAUAGUAGGAUUUGGAGGUUUAGGCAAGACCACGCUUGCCAAUGAGGUAUAUCAUGACGUUGAAGGGCAUUUCAAUAGCAAGGCAUUUGUGCCAGUUUCUCAGAAGCCAGACGUACCAAGGCUACUUAGCAGUGUGUGUUCAAAACUUGGGGUGCUUCAAUCUUCUCAUGCUUGCGAAGUCCAAGAGCUAAUCGAUACUUUGAGAGAAUACCUGUGUGAUAAGAGGUACUCAUUUGUUCUCAUAUGUAGCAAUGAAUAUUUUAACUGUAACAAGUUCACCUUUAACAAGCAACUUACCUUAUCUUUCUAGCUAAAUCUAACCCUUUAUUUGUUCAAAGUUUUCCAAUGAAAGCAAAUUAGUUGUCUGAGUACUAGAGUUGGUACCAAGAAACAUUUAAUUUGUAACAACAUGCUCCCUUUAAGGUGCAGUAAUUCACACAUCCUCAUUGUAAUCUAGCUAAAUUUACUAGUCAUGCUGACCCCCGGCUACUACACGGGGUACGUAGUUAGUCGGAUUAGAAAUAAAUUUGGUGCCAAGAGUGAGACUUUGCUCAUAUUCUAAUAUAUUACCAGUGCAAUUAUACUGUAUACAUUUCUCCAGUCCAAUUCAUAACUGUCCCCUUAUCAAUACUUCCUAUAUAUAUAUGUUUAUCCUGUUGUGAUGCCUUUAGUUACAGUGGCUUUAGUUAUUUACGGUGUUACUUUAAUAAUACUAGAGGUGCUUCAUUUAGAUAACAAUGUAGGGAUUAUUUUUAAUAAUUUCAUAUAUAAGUAAUUCAUAUCAGUACUUAGGGAACUACUUUAGACCAUAGAAGAUGUGGGCAAUUUUGUAGAAAACGUAACAGAUCCAAUGGCCCUUGUUGUCAACGAUAUUUUUUAUAAAGUGUCUUUCUGAUUUUGUAAGAAUUUUAGGAAGUACCUUUGUUUUUUGUGUCUCAUGUGAAGACUUUUUUAGACUCGAAUUAGUAAAAGUAAUAUGGGUUUAGAAUGAUAGUAUGGAUUUCAGGAAUAAGCAAUAGUUUUCUUUUGUGUUUCAAUCACAGCAUAUUUGUACAUCGAGUCCAAAUUAUAUUACAGCAUAUUACAUUUUAGUGCAUAUACUAGAGUGCAUGUAGCUUUCUACACAAUUAUCAGUGUCUAUUUCGUGUCAAAUUUACCCCAUGUUAUUUUCGGAUACGUUCAUAGGUACCUCAUUGUACUUGAUGAUUUGUGGGAAGUGAAACAUUGGGAUAUCAUUAGUUGUGCUUUUCCAAAGAAUAGUCAACAAAGCAGGCUUAUUGUGACUACAAGAAUUGAAGGUGUGGCUCAGGCAUGUUGCAAGGACCAUGGGCGCAUUCAUUAUAUGAAACCACUAAGUGACGCGGACUCAAGAAAGUUAUUCUUUAGAAGGAUUUUUGGCACUGAAGAUACUUGCCCUCCUCAGUUCACAGAAGUUUCAUCUGAAAUUCUAAAGAAGUGCGGUGGUUUGCCACUUGCAAUUGUCACUAUGGCUAGCUCUUUAGCAGACCAACCCAAAGAGCACUGGGACUACAUACAACGUUCUAUAGUCACUGAAUCUGCAGCAAACUCCUUGGCUGACAUGAUGCAGAUCUUAGACCUGAGCUAUAAGCACCUUCCUCAUCAUCUAAGAGCAUGCUUUUUGUAUCUCGGUAUUUAUCCUGAGGACUACGAGAUUGAAAGGGAUCAGCUGAUUUACUUGUGGGUGGCAGAACGUAUUGUGACGAGCAAGUCUCCUAUGCAAGAUGUAAAGGAUGUAGCAGAGAGCUGUUUCAAUGAACUUGUCAAUAGGAACAUGAUUCAACCAGAAUCCUAUUACUACAGAGUACAUGAUAUGAUGCUCGAUCUAAUCAUAAAGAGGUGCAGAGAAGGUAAUUUUGUAAGUGUUGUGCACAGUGCACAGGUGGUGGUAGAACGGCAAGACAGGGUUCAUCGUCUGUCAGUCAGCUUGAGUGAUGUUCCAGAUGAUGACUCCAUAUUUCAGCUGGCCACUAAUUGCUGCCGAUCACAAGUUCGUUCUCUUGUCUUCCUUGGAGCAUCAAAAUGGAUGCCUCCACUGUUAGAGCUUAAGUCUCUUCGGGUGCUUUUCCUUCAAUUUCCGAAGCACCUGAAGACAAUGGACCUCACAGGUGUUGGCCAAUUGUCUCAACUGAGAUACUUAAAGGUUAAUGGGAUAUUCUAUUCAGAUACUUCUAUUGUGCUACCAAGUGAAAUUGGAAGGAUGCGACAUUUGGAGAGGCUGGAAAUACCUUAUACAUACAUUUGCAGCACUCCAUCAGAUAUUGUUGACUUGCCACGCUUGUCACAUCUCAUCUUGCCAGAGGAUACAAGUUUGCUAGACGGGAUUGGGAAGAUGAAAUCUCUGCGUACGCUGAGGUCAUUUUUAUUAGCAGAGAGCUCACCAGAGGAUAUUAAGGGCCUCAGCGAACUCAACAAGCUGGAAGACUUGCGGAUGAGUUGCCGCAGAAGCAGAAACAACCGCGAGCAUAGGCCGAAACGAGCCGAUGGUGAUACGCCGACAGCUAUAUGGAUGGAUGCUCUGAUUUUUUCCCUGGAGAAACUAAGUAACCUCAAAAGCUUUUUCCUGUCAUCUGAAUUUACUGCUGUCAAAGCCGAUGCCCUGCUCUUGCUUUCACCUCCUUUCCAAAAUCUCGAGGUGCUCUAUCUGCACGGACUGAUCUUCUCUAGAGUUCCUAGGUGGAUCGGAGGUCUCCAAAAGCUUUGUCGGUUGACACUCGGAGCAAAGCAGAUGACCCAGGAAGAUAUUAACAUCAUUGGAACACUGCCCUAUCUCACCGGCCUCCGGCUGCGGAUCUCAGGCAUGCCAACAGGCACGAUCGUGAUAGGUGGGACCACAGGGUUCAACGCUCUCGAGUUUUUUGUGUACGACUGUGAUGUUAUGUCAUAUCUGGCAUUUGAGGACGGAGCUAUGCCCAGCCUCCAGAAGCUUGGUUUACUACUGGAUCCACAUAAAUGGGACAAGGUUACACCUCUUGGUCUCCAAUGUCUUUCGAACCUCAAGAAAAUAACUGUAUGGACGGUUGCCACCAGUUAUAGCAACGACGCAGGAGCGGGUGACAAAGAAUCAGAGGAGAUGUCUGCGGCUGCUUUGGUCCGCAAGGUGUUUCAGGAAGCAGCCAACGCACAUCCGAGUCACCUAGCAU
Molecule: long non-coding RNA, 14924 nt
Filed under: Sorghum bicolor (sorghum)
Lineage: Eukaryota; Viridiplantae; Streptophyta; Magnoliopsida; Poales; Poaceae
Description: long non-coding RNA (SBIC_LNC011534)
Source: RNAcentral